GCUGGGUGUGGUGGCGCGUGCCUGUAGUCCCAGCUACUCGGGAGGCUGAGGCAGGAGAAUUGCUGGAACCCAGGAGGCAGAGGGUGUAGUGAGCUGAGAUCGCGCCACUGCACUCUAGCCUGGGCGACAGAGCAAGACUCUGUCUCAA
Molecule: non-coding RNA, 148 nt
Filed under: Gorilla gorilla gorilla (western lowland gorilla)
Lineage: Eukaryota; Metazoa; Chordata; Mammalia; Primates; Hominidae
Source: Rfam by way of RNAcentral